GAGGAUGUAGCUCAAUAGUAGAGUGUAUGUUUAGCAUGUGCAAAGCCCUGGGUUCAAUCCCCCAGCAUCAACA
RNAcentral lists this transfer RNA (73 nucleotides) under Heterocephalus glaber (naked mole-rat). It matches the Rfam family "tRNA". From Rfam's summary of the family: Transfer RNA (tRNA) molecules are approximately 80 nucleotides in length. The record is from Rfam by way of RNAcentral. Lineage: Eukaryota; Metazoa; Chordata; Mammalia; Rodentia; Bathyergidae.